GGCGUGGUGGCUUAGUGGUUAGCAUGGUUGCCUUGUACCUGCAGGGUUGGGGGUUCGAAUCCCACCUCCACCC
Molecule: non-coding RNA, 73 nt
Organism: Pangasianodon gigas (Mekong giant catfish)
Lineage: Eukaryota; Metazoa; Chordata; Actinopteri; Siluriformes; Pangasiidae
Source: the annotation of a GenBank genome assembly